RNAcentral lists this ribosomal RNA (117 nucleotides) under Pericapritermes sp. 4 SH-2021a. Lineage: Eukaryota; Metazoa; Arthropoda; Insecta; Blattodea; Termitidae. The record is from RNAcentral.
AACGGCCAUACCACGUUGAACACACCGGUUCUCGUCUGAUCACCGCAGUUAAGCAACCAACAUUGGGCAUGGUUAGUACUUGGAUGGGUGACCGCUUGGGAACACCAUGUGCUGUUG